GUCCUUCGCUGCCUCGGGCGGUACCGAGGACCUUGGAAGCCCAGAUGCUCCGCGGGUCUCGUGUGGUCACGGGUCAGCCUGUUUGGUUUGCACUUCUAGGGGUCGGGGCAGUUGGGGUCAUCACCUACCCCGGCAGCAUCGCUUUGGCCGCGGAAAGACCGUGUGCAGCUCUUCCCGUCCCCAGACACGGGGACCGGCCCGCUGUUGUAACUGCCUGGAGUUCCCAGCAUGUGUGCAGCAUGUCACAACGAAUAUCUCCCUCUUGCUGCCCUCUGUGCUGUUUCCAGUUGGCCCUUGGCAUCCACAGUGCUCUCCUGAGCAUGCUCACGUGCAUCCUGUCUCCGUGGGUGCCUCGCUGGGGGUAAUACCAGGAAGUGGAAUCGGUGGAUUUUAGGACUUGCCGCCAGUGUCGUUAUGGCCUGUGAAGUCGCCACCCGGGCAACAGCCCUGGAAUAAUUCUGUGGAAGCGGGAACCCUCAUAGCCAAAUUCUUUCUCUUCAAGGUUCAGAGCAUGAAAGUUUGCUGCUGUCUUUGGAACUUUGUCUGCAAAAUCUGGAAGGAGACUAGCCCAAGGGCUCACCACCAAUGGCAAUGUCAAAGAACACGGUGGGGUUGACCAUGGCUGAUGGCAGGGGACUCUGGGAGGCAGCAGCAUCUGCAAAGCUGUGUAUUUUAAAAUUUCAAUAGAUCCCGCCUUGCUUCUCUUUCCUCCAUGUAUGCAGACCCUUUCCCUGUGCUGACCAUGAAGCUGGGCUGGACGGUGUCUCUGCAGUGCUCUCCUUCCCCUUUCUAUGACAUCAACAUCAUACUAAUGAUAAUGUAAUGACUGCUGUUUAUGCCUUCCUUCAAAUCUUAUUCAGAAACUUACCUUUUCAAAGAAUAGAAAAAUAGAAAAAUGGACGGAAAUGGCUGGCAAAAAAUGCCCUUGAGGAAAUAUCCCGGAUGACAAAUAAUCAAAGGGAAAUAAAACAGUUCCUGAUGCCACCUUUUGCCUGUCCAUUUAGUAAAGUUUGUUUAAAAGAACCAUCCACGUUGGGGAAGGUGCAAUGAAACAGGAAUUUGUACUCUUACUGCUAGUGGGAGGAUAACCUGUUCUAUUCUUUGGAAAGUAAUUGGGUAAAUAUGUAUCAAAACUUGAACAAAUGAGCUUCACCUUUCCUAUACCAGUUCCACUUCCGAGAACCGGUUCAGGCAGCCGCGGCACCCCUGGUGUGUAUUUGGUCCGCUCAGUCUACAGGUCUCAUUCAGAAAAGGCAGGAAGGAGGUUGACGGCAGCUGUGGGGUGGCAGUGGCUCUGCACCCGGCUGGCUUUGCAUUGUCGCUCCUCAUGCCCGGGUUUGCCAUCUUCGCCUCCAGUCUGGAGCUCCAGCCCCUGCCCUCCCUGAUGCCUCCCUUCAGCUCAUGGAAAUGGUCCUCUUUUGACUCUGCUGGGUGGGGUGGCCCUGACCAGAAACAUCCAGUGGCUACUCAGCCUGGCACGGCCAUGGUCUGAGAGGCCCCAGCAGAGCACAGUGACUUGGCGCCAGGGCCCCCUUCAGCACAUCACAGGAUGAGGACAGCACAUCACAGGAUGGGGAGUGGGUCUGAGGGCUGACCCUGCCUUUUUUUUUUUUUUGACGAAGUCUCACUCUGUCACCCAGGCUGGAGGGCAGUGGUGUGAUCUUGGCUCACUGCAACCUCUGCCUCCCGGGUUCAGGCGAUUCUCCUGCCUCAGCCUCCUGAGUAGCUGGGACUACAGGCACCCGCCACCACACCAGGCUAAUUUCUUUUUGUAUUUUUAGUAGAGACGGGGUUUCAUCAUGUUGGUCAGGCUGGUCUUGAACUCCUGACCUUGUGAUCCACCCACCUCAGCCUUCUAAAGUGCUGGGAUUACAAGCAUGAGCCACUGAGCUCGGCUGAUUUUUUUUAUUUUUUAUUUUCAGUUUUACUUUUUGAGACAGGGUCUGGCUCUGUAGCCCAGGCUGGGACUCAGUCACCCAGUGUCAGCUCACUGCAACCUCUGCCUCCUGGGACUCAAGCCAUUCUCCCAUCUCAGCCUCUUGCGUAGCUGGGACCCCAGGCACUUGCCACAGUGCCUGGCUGAUUUUUGUAUUUUUUGUAGAGAUGGGAUUUCACCAUGUUGCCAAGAGUGGUCUCGAACUCCUGAGCUCAAACGAUCUGCCCGCCUUGGCCUCCCAAAGUGCUGGGAUUACAGGCGUGAGCCACCAAGUCAAGCCAACAUUUUUUUUUACACACCAGUUUUCAGCAGCUGUGGCAAGUGGCCCCUGCGAUGAUCCCCACUCCUCAGUAUUUUUGCCCUUGUGUGGUCUUCUUCCCUUGAGUGUGAGCUGGACCUACCGACUUGCUUCUAAGGAACAGAAGACAGCAAAAGUAAUGGCAUGUCACUUUCAGUCCUGGGUUAUAAGAAGAUAGUGGCUUCCAUCUCAGGCGCUUUCUCUUGCUCCCCCACCUGCUUGUGCUGAGGGGAGGUGGGCUGCCUUCUUGUGAGUUACCCUAUGUGGGGUUCAUGCAGUAAGGAACUGAUAGAGUUUGGAUGUGUGUUCCCACUCAAAUCUGAUAUUGAAAUACAAUCUCCAGUGUUGGAGGUGGAGUUCUGGUGAAGGUGAUUGGCUUACGCAGGGAGUGGAUUUCUCAUGAAUGGUUUAGCACUAUCUCCCUGGGUACUGUCCUGAUAAGGAGUGAGUUCUCAUGAAAUCUGGUCAUUUAAAAGUGUGCAGUGCCUCUUCCCUCAUCCUCCUGCUCCUGCUUUCACCCUGUGAUGUGCCUGCUCCCUGUUUACCUACCACCACGAUUGGAAGCCUCCUGAGGUCUCCCCCAAAGCAGAUGCUGCUAUGCUUCCUGUACAGACUGCAGAGCUAGGAGCCAAUAAAACCUCUUCUCUUGGAAGUGACUUCGUUUCAGUUAUUUCUUCCUAGAAUUGUGAGAAUGGACUAAUCCAGCAAUGGAACCAGCAGCUGGUGAGAAAAUAUGGCCUGCAUACAGCCACACGAGUGAGCUUGGAAACAUUUCUCUGAGUCCAGACUUUUCAUGGGACCACAUCCCCAGCUCAUGGAUUGAUUGCAGCCUUGGGAGAAACCUUAAGCCACAGGCACCCAGUUAAGCUUCUGACCCACAGAAACUAGGAGAUAAUAAAUGUGAGUUGUUUUAAGCCUUUAGGUGGGGUGAGGCAAUAAAAGCUCGAAAGGCUACUGCAUGCAUUAACGAUAACUAAUGCAAUUAUUAACUGUGAUUAUCGAUUAGUUAUCGAUAAAGCAUGCAGCAGCCUUGUGAGCUCUGACUGCACUGGCGAACUGACAGCACAUCCUAAACUGGGCCCAGAAUCUCCACCAGGUGCCCAGGUGCCAGAGGCGAGCUUUACUCCCUUGAAGAGGACUGCAUCAAAGGUGUCAUGGAGAUGAAGCUUUCUUUGGCAUAUGAAUAGUUCGUGAUUAUAUUUUUUCCUCAAAAGAUGUGUUAAUGCAAAAGCCUGGGAAGAAGUCUCCAGUCGGUCACUCAUUCCGGCAACUAGUCCUUCACGGUGUCAACUAGUCCUUCACUGUAUCAACUAGUCCUUCACGGUAUCAACUAGUCCUUCACGGUGUCAAACUAGGUCAGGAGUUUCCACCAACUGGGUUGGUCCAACUCUUGGAUCAAUAAACCCUGAUUUGUUUUUCCAGAGAAUGAAAACUCUUUACAUCAGAAGGGCUAUGGUGGAAAAGAAGGGUUUGACUUAUUUUCUGAGGUCCCAAGAGAUCAGAAAAUUUCAGUUUCAGCUGGGCAUGGUGGCUCACACCUGUAAUCCCAACACUUUGGGAGGCCGAGGCAGGAGGAUUGCUUGAGCUCAGGAGUUCGAGACCAGCCUGGGCAACAUGGCAAGACCCUAUCUCUACAAAAGAAAUAAAACCAAAAAAAUUACCUGGGUUUGGUGGCAUGUGCUUGUAGUCCCAGCUACUCAGGAGGCUAAGGUAGGAAUAUUGUUUGAGUCUGGGAGAUUGAGGCUGCAGCGAGCCAUAUUCAUACCACUGCUCUCCAGCCUGAGCGACAGAGUGAGCCUUUGUCUCAAAAAAAAAAAAAAAAAAAAAGAAAAGAAAAGAAAAAAAAGAAAAAGAAAAAGUCAGUUUCAUAAGAUGAAAAACUUCCUGCUAAUCAGAGCUGUCAGACUCUGCCUGGACUGGUUCAUUGGGUAGUUAGCUUCUUCCUAGUAGACAUAGACCUGGAUGUCUCAGCAGGAAUGUGGUGAGAGGUUUCCAAGUACGUGUUCAAGAAUCAGGCCGAGUUUAUUCAUUUAGUAAUUCAACAAAUACUAAUUCUACAUGCUUCAGUUACAGAAUCCUGUGAGUAAGUGUAGAAUUGAUGACCAGAGGCUUUGAUAAAAAGCGAUUUGUUUUUUCUACCCAACAGAGGAUCUGGGGGUCAGUGGUGGCUGGUGGUGUUUCACUGGGUCAGUAGUGCAAGGUUCAGAAUCCCUCUGAUUCUCUCGCCUGUAGUGUCUGAGAUGGCUGCACAGUGGCCACUACAGCUGCAGAUAUCACACCCCACACAGACCUCA
This 4528-nucleotide long non-coding RNA is filed under the name Macaca nemestrina (pig-tailed macaque). RNAcentral describes it as "lncRNA (ENSMNEG00000045606.1)". Lineage: Eukaryota; Metazoa; Chordata; Mammalia; Primates; Cercopithecidae. The record is from RNAcentral.